This is a small nucleolar RNA of Suncus etruscus (white-toothed pygmy shrew), 135 nucleotides long. RefSeq annotates it as small nucleolar RNA SNORA42/SNORA80 family. The transcript has a single exon. The record is from RefSeq and is a predicted model, not a curated record. Lineage: Eukaryota; Metazoa; Chordata; Mammalia; Eulipotyphla; Soricidae.
GUUUGGCUUAAAAAUUAUAUGUAUCAGUCCAUCCCCUGGGCCUCUCAUAGUGUCCCAUGCCAUAGCAAGAUGUGGCCCUGAAUCAUUGCCUGGCUCUACAAGUGGGCUUUGUGUACUGAAGCGGGUCACACAGUG